Molecule: ribosomal RNA, 253 nt
Filed under: uncultured bacterium
Lineage: Bacteria
Description: partial 16S ribosomal RNA
Rfam family: Bacterial small subunit ribosomal RNA
Source: RNAcentral
UACGUAGGGGGCAAGCGUUAUCCGGAUUUACUGGGUGUAAAGGGAGCGUAGACGGCGAUGCAAGUCUGAAGUGAAAGGCGGGGGCCCAACCCCCGGACUGCUUUGGAAACUGUAUGGCUGGAGUGCAGGAGAGGUAAGUGGAAUUCCUAGUGUAGCGGUGAAAUGCGUAGAUAUUAGGAGGAACACCAGUGGCGAAGGCGGCUUACUGGACUGAAACUGACGUUGAGGCUCGAAAGCGUGGGGAGCAAACAGG